UAUGUGAUCGUCUCUCGCAUAUCAAUAAGCGGAGGAAAAGCGCAUUGAAGAUCCAGAUACCUACGCUUAGGAUGUUGAAGAUGUAGCACAUCAUACACGCAUGACACACUGCAUAUCAAUAAGCGGAGGAAAAGAAACUAACAAGGAUUCCCCUAGUAACGGCGAGUGAAGCGGGAAGAGCUCAAAUUUGAAAUCUUAAAGGGUUUCCCUUUACGAAUUGUAGUUUAAAGAAGUGUUUUCUGUUGAGGUUUUGGUAAAAGUUCUUUGGAAUAGGACAUCAUAGAGGGUGAGAAUCCCGUAUUUGACCUUUACUUUCAACUUUGUGAUACACUUUCAAAGAGUCGGAUUGUUUGGGAAUGCAGUCCAAAAUGGGUGGUAAAUUUCAUCUAAAGCUAAAUAUUGGCGAGAGACCGAUAGCGAACAAGUACCGUGAGGGAAAGAUGAAAAGAACUUUGAAAAGAGAGUUAAACAGUACGUGAAAUUGUCAAAAGGGAAGCGUUUGACACCAGUGUUGUUUUUCUGAAAAUCAAUUAAAGAACUGUUUAUGCUAAGUUGUUUAGACUUUAUCAGCUAACUGUUUAGUUUUGAGCUUUUCUUUAAUGCACUUUUCAGUUAACAAGUCAACAUCAAUUUCUUUUGCUGUAAAAAAGCUUGAGGAAGGUGGCUUGAGAUUCGUCUUAAGUGUUUAUAGCCUCUUGCCUAUGCAGUCGGAGAGAUUGAGGUCUGCAGCGUAGAUCCUUCGGGGCUAAAUGCAUUUGUGCUAAGUUAUAGCAUUUUAUAGACAACUUGUUGACUAUGAUUUGUCUUGUAGCUUACUCGCUUAUGUUAUUUUACCUACGCUUAGGAUGUUGAAGAUGUAGCACAUCAU
Molecule: ribosomal RNA, 868 nt
Filed under: uncultured Neocallimastigales
Lineage: Eukaryota; Fungi; Neocallimastigomycota; Neocallimastigomycetes; Neocallimastigales
Description: partial large subunit ribosomal RNA
Rfam family: Eukaryotic large subunit ribosomal RNA
Source: RNAcentral